GACUCGUCACACUAUCAUUAACUGAAUCCAUAGGUUAAUGAGGCGAACCGGGGGAACUGAAACAUCUAAGUACCCCGAGGAAAAGAAAUCAACCGAGAUUCCCCCAGUAGCGGCGAGCGAACGGGGAGGAGCCCAGAGCCUGAAUCAGCAUGUGUGUUAGUGGAAGCGUCUGGAAAGGCGCGCGAUACAGGGUGACAGCCCCGUACACAAAAGCGCAUGUGCUGUGAGCUCGAUGAGUAGGGCGGGACACGUGGUAUCCUGUCUGAAUAUGGGGGGACCAUCCUCCAAGGCUAAAUACUCCUGACUGACCGAUAGUGAACCAGUACCGUGAGGGAAAGGCGAAAAGAACCCCGGCGAGGGGAGUGAAAAAGAACCUGAAACCGUGUACGUACAAGCAGUGGGAGCACAGGUUUACCUGUGUGACUGCGUACCUUUUGUAUAAUGGGUCAGCGACUUAUAUUCUGUAGCAAGGUUAACCGAAUAGGGGAGCCGGAGGGAAACCGAGUCUUAAUUGGGCGUUAAGUUGCAGGGUAUAGACCCGAAACCCGGUGAUCUAGCCAUGGGCAGGUUGAAGGUUGGGUAACACUAACUGGAGGACCGAACCGACUAAUGUUGAAAAAUUAGCGGAUGACCUGUGGCUGGGGGUGAAAGGCCAAUCAAACCGGGAGAUAGCUGGUUCUCCCCGAAAGCUAUUUAGGUAGCGCCUCGUGAAUUCAUCUCCGGGGGUAGAGCACUGUUUCGGCUAGGGGGCCAUCCCGGCUUACCAACCCGAUGCAAACUGCGAAUACCGGAGAAUGUUAUCACGGGAGACACACGGCGGGUGCUAACGUCCGUCGUGAAGAGGGAAACAACCCAGACCGCCAGCUAAGGUCCCAAAGUCAUGGUUAAGUGGGAAACGAUGUGGGAAGGCCCAGACAGCCAGGAUGUUGGCUUAGAAGCAGCCAUCAUUUAAAGAAAGCGUAAUAGCUCACUGGUCGAGUCGGCCUGCGCGGAAGAUGUAACGGGGCUAAACCAUGCACCGAAGCUGCGGCAGCGACACUGUGUGUUGUUGGGUAGGGGAGCGUUCUGUAAGCCUGUGAAGGUGUGUCGUGAGGCAUGCUGGAGGUAUCAGAAGUGCGAAUGCUGACAUAAGUAACGAUAAAGCGGGUGAAAAGCCCGCUCGCCGGAAGACCAAGGGUUCCUGUCCAACGUUAAUCGGGGCAGGGUGAGUCGACCCCUAAGGCGAGGCCGAAAGGCGUAGUCGAUGGGAAACGGGUUAAUAUUCCCGUACUUGGUGUUACUGCGAAGGGGGGACGGAGAAGGCUAUGUUGGCCGGGCGACGGUUGUCCCGGUUUAAGCGUGUAGGUGUGUGUUCCAGGUAAAUCCGGUUCACUUUAACACUGAGGCGUGACGACGAGGCACUACGGUGCUGAAGCAACAAAUGCCCUGCUUCCAGGAAAAGCCUCUAAGCAUCAGGUAACAUCAAAUCGUACCCCAAACCGACACAGGUGGUCAGGUAGAGAAUACCAAGGCGCUUGAGAGAACUCGGGUGAAGGAACUAGGCAAAAUGGUGCCGUAACUUCGGGAGAAGGCACGCUGACACGUAGGUGAAGUGAUUUACUCAUGGAGCUGAAGUCAGUCGAAGAUACCAGCUGGCUGCAACUGUUUAUUAAAAACACAGCACUGUGCAAACACGAAAGUGGACGUAUACGGUGUGACGCCUGCCCGGUGCCGGAAGGUUAAUUGAUGGGGUCAGCGCAAGCGAAGCUCCUGAUCGAAGCCCCGGUAAACGGCGGCCGUAACUAUAACGGUCCUAAGGUAGCGAAAUUCCUUGUCGGGUAAGUUCCGACCUGCACGAAUGGCGUAAUGAUGGCCAGGCUGUCUCCACCCGAGACUCAGUGAAAUUGAACUCGCUGUGAAGAUGCAGUGUACCCGCGGCAAGACGGAAAGACCCCGUGAACCUUUACUAUAGCUUGACACUGAACAUUGAGCCUUGAUGUGUAGGAUAGGUGGGAGGCUUUGAAGUGUGGACGCCAGUCUGCAUGGAGCCGACCUUGAAAUACCACCCUUUAAUGUUUGAUGUUCUAACGUGGACCCGUUACCCGGGUUGCGGACAGUGUCUGGUGGGUAGUUUGACUGGGGCGGUCUCCUCCUAAAGAGUAACGGAGGAGCACGAAGGUUGGCUAAUCCUGGUCGGACAUCAGGAGGUUAGUGCAAUGGCAUAAGCCAGCUUGACUGCGAGCGUGACGGCGCGAGCAGGUGCGAAAGCAGGUCAUAGUGAUCCGGUGGUUCUGAAUGGAAGGGCCAUCGCUCAACGGAUAAAAGGUACUCCGGGGAUAACAGGCUGAUACCGCCCAAGAGUUCAUAUCGACGGCGGUGUUUGGCACCUCGAUGUCGGCUCAUCACAUCCUGGGGCUGAAGUAGGUCCCAAGGGUAUGGCUGUUCGCCAUUUAAAGUGGUACGCGAGCUGGGUUUAGAACGUCGUGAGACAGUUCGGUCCCUAUCUGCCGUGGGCGCUGGAGAACUGAGGGGGGCUGCUCCUAGUACGAGAGGACCGGAGUGGACGCAUCACUGGUGUUCGGGUUGUCAUGCCAAUGGCACUGCCCGGUAGCUAAAUGCGGAAGAGAUAAGUGCUGAAAGCAUCUAAGCACGAAACUUGCCCCGAG
Molecule: ribosomal RNA, 2645 nt
Filed under: Salmonella enterica subsp. enterica serovar Enteritidis
Lineage: Bacteria; Pseudomonadati; Pseudomonadota; Gammaproteobacteria; Enterobacterales; Enterobacteriaceae
Description: partial 23S ribosomal RNA
Rfam family: Bacterial large subunit ribosomal RNA
Source: RNAcentral